RNAcentral lists this ribosomal RNA (582 nucleotides) under Bodomorpha sp. HFCC106. Its description in RNAcentral is "eukaryotic LSU rRNA". It matches the Rfam family "Eukaryotic large subunit ribosomal RNA", at positions 669 to 1238 of the family's 3401-position model. The record is from RNAcentral. Lineage: Eukaryota; Cercozoa; Glissomonadida; Viridiraptoridae.
AGGAGUCUAACAUCUAUGCGAGUAUUUGAGUGCAAAACUCUGAUGCGCAAUGAAAGUAAAGGCAGCCUCGGCUGCUGAGGUAGGAAUCCGGGUAAAAGCGGAGGCACUAUCGACCGAUCAUCACUUGUGAAAGAUUUGAGUAAGAGCAUAUCUGUUGGGACCCGAAAGAUGGUGAUCUAUGCCUGAACAGGGUGAAGUCAGGGGAAACUCUGAUGGAGGCUCGUAGCGAUACUGACGUGCAAAUCGUUCGUCUGAUUUGGGUAUAGGGGCGAAAGACUAAUCGAACCAUCUAGUAGCUGGUUCCCUCCGAAGUUUCCCUCAGGAUAGCUGGAACUUAUACAGUUUUAUCAGGUAAAGCUAAUGAUUAGAGGUUCCGGAGCUGAAACAGCUUUGACCUAUUCUCAAACUUUAAAUAGGUAAGAAGUCCCGUGUUACUUAACUGAACCGGGACAUCGAAUGGAAGUUCUUAGUGGGCCAUUUUUGGUAAGCAGAACUGGCGAUGCGGGAUGAACCGGACGUUGAGUUACGGUGCCAAACUAUUCGCUCAUCUAGAUCCCUCAAAAGGUGUUGGUUCAUUUAGAC